RNAcentral lists this ribosomal RNA (359 nucleotides) under Micromonas pusilla. RNAcentral's name for it is "SSU rRNA". It matches the Rfam family "Eukaryotic small subunit ribosomal RNA", at positions 41 to 417 of the family's 1831-position model. The record is from RNAcentral. Lineage: Eukaryota; Viridiplantae; Chlorophyta; Mamiellophyceae; Mamiellales; Mamiellaceae.
AGAUUAAGCCAUGCAUGUCUAAGUAUAAGCGUUAUACUGKGAAACUGCGAAUGGCUCAUUAAAUCAGCAAUAGUUUCUUUGGUGGUGUUUACUACAUGGAUAACCGUAGUAAUUCUAGAGCUAAUACAUGCGUAAAUCUCGACUCRCGAAGAGACGUAUUUAUUAGAUAAAGACCGACCUCGUUCUGCGGUGAAUCAUGAUAACUUCACGGACCGCAUGGCCUCGUGCCGGCGGUGUUCCAUUCAAAUUUCUGCCCUAUCAACUUUCGACGGUAGGAUAGAGGCCUACCGUGGUGUUCACGGGUGACGGAGAAUUAGGGUUCGAUUUCGGAGAGGGAGCCUGAGAAACGGCUACCACAU